AGUGAACGCUGGCGGUAGGCCUAACACAUGCAAGUCGAACGGCAGCACAGUAAGAGCUUGCUCUUACGGGUGGCGAGUGGCGGACGGGUGAGGAAUACAUCGGAAUCUACUUUUUCGUGGGGGAUAACGUAGGGAAACUUACGCUAAUACCGCAUACGACCUACGGGUGAAAGCAGGGGAUCUUCGGACCUUGCGCGAUUGAAUGAGCCGAUGUCGGAUUAGUUAGUUGGCGGGGUAAAGGCCCACCAAGGCGACGAUCCGUAGCUGGUCUGAGAGGAUGAUCAGCCACACUGGAACUGAGACACGGUCCAGACUCCUACGGGAGGCAGCAGUGGGGAAUAUUGGACAAUGGGCGCAAGCCUGAUCCAGCCAUACCGCGUGGGUGAAGAAGGCCUUCGGGUUGUAAAGCCCUUUUGUUGGGAAAGAAAAGCAGCAGGUUAAUACCCCGCUGUUAUGACGGUACCCAAAGAAUAAGCACCGGCUAACUUCGUG
This 492-nucleotide ribosomal RNA is filed under the name uncultured bacterium. RNAcentral describes it as "partial 16S ribosomal RNA". It matches the Rfam family "Bacterial small subunit ribosomal RNA", at positions 29 to 507 of the family's 1533-position model. The record is from RNAcentral.